RNAcentral lists this ribosomal RNA (305 nucleotides) under uncultured bacterium. RNAcentral describes it as "bacterial SSU rRNA". It matches the Rfam family "Bacterial small subunit ribosomal RNA", at positions 335 to 640 of the family's 1533-position model. The record is from RNAcentral.
AUACCUACGGGGCGCAGCAGUAGGGAAUUUUCGGCAAUGGGGGAAACCCUGACCGAGCAACGCCGCGUGAGGGAGGAAGUAUUUCGGUACGUAAAGCUCUAUCAGCAGGGAAGAAAAAAAGUCCUUUGGACUUUGGACGGUACCUGACCAAGAAGCCCCGGCUAACUACGUGCCAGCAGCCGCGGUAAUACGUAGGGGGCAAGCGUUAUCCGGAUUUACUGGGUGUAAAGGGAGCGUAGACGGCAGCGCAAGUCUGGAGUGAAAUGCCGGGGCCCAACCCCGGAACUGCUUUGGAAACUGUGCAG